This 119-nucleotide ribosomal RNA is filed under the name Octopus vulgaris (common octopus). Lineage: Eukaryota; Metazoa; Mollusca; Cephalopoda; Octopoda; Octopodidae. The record is from RNAcentral. RNAcentral also lists the same sequence under 1 other name.
GCUUACGGCCAUAUCACGUUGAAAGCACCGGUUCUCGUCCGAUCACCGAAGUUAAGCAACGUCGAGCCUAGUUAGUGCUUAGAUGGGUGACCGCUUGGGAAACCUAGGUGCUGUAAGCG